Molecule: ribosomal RNA, 492 nt
Filed under: uncultured bacterium
Lineage: Bacteria
Description: partial 16S ribosomal RNA
Rfam family: Bacterial small subunit ribosomal RNA
Source: RNAcentral
AGUGAACGCUGGCGGUAGGCCUAACACAUGCAAGUCGAACGGCAGCACAGUAAUAGCUUGCUCUUACGGGUGGCGAGUGGCGGACGGGUGAGGAAUACAUCGGAAUCUACUUUUUCGUGGGGGAGAACGUAGGGAAACUUACGCUAAUACCGCAUACGACCUACGGGUGAAAUCAGGGGAUCUUCUGACCUUGCGCGAGUGAAUGAGCCGAUGUCGGAUUAGCUAGUUGGCGGGGUAAAGGCCCACCAAGGCGACGAUCCGUAGCUGGUCUGAGAGGAUGAUCAGCCACAAUGGAACUGAGAGACGGUCCAGACUCCUACGGGAGGCAGCAGUGGGGAAUAUUGGACAAUGGGCGCAAGCCUGAUCCAGCCAUACCGCGUGGGUGAAGAAGGCCUUCGGGUUGUAAAGCGCUUUUGUUGGGAAAGAAAAGCAGCAGGUUAAUACCCCGCUGUUCUGACGGUACCCAAAGAAUAAGCACCGGCUAACUUCGUG